Molecule: ribosomal RNA, 976 nt
Filed under: Bonnemaisonia asparagoides
Lineage: Eukaryota; Rhodophyta; Florideophyceae; Bonnemaisoniales; Bonnemaisoniaceae
Description: LSU rRNA
Rfam family: Eukaryotic large subunit ribosomal RNA
Source: RNAcentral
CCGACAUUCUCAGUUGUUUUGUGCGGUAAAGCGAAUGAUUAGCGCACUCGGGGGCAUUUUGUCUUCGGGCGAUUCUCAAACUUUCAAUGCGCAAGGGCGCCGGUGCUUUGUUAGAGCGGCGCCGGGAAAAACGUCGGCCCUGUGGGCCACUUUUGGUAAGCAGAACUGGCGAUACGGGAUGAACCGUAAGCGCGGUUAAGGCGCCUGACUGCCCGCUUAUAGACCCCACAAAAGGUGUUGAUUCAUCGAGACAGCAGGACGGUGGCCAUGGAAGUCGGAAUCCGCUAAGGAGUGUGUAACAACUCACCUGCCGAAUGAAUUAGCCCUGAAAAUGGAUGGCGCUGAAGCGGGCGGCCGACACCGCGCCGUUCGAACGAUUUUAUGUUUUCGGAUGAGUAGGAGGGCGUGGCGGCCGUGUCGAAGCGCGCGUGCAGACGCGUGUGGAACGGCCGCUAGUGCAGAUCUUGGUGGUAGUAGCAAAUAUUCAAGCGAGAUCCUUGAAGGGCGAAGCGGGGAAGGGUUCCACGCGAACAUUGAUUGGGCGUGGGUGAGUCGUUCCUAAGCCGAGUGGUCAUUGCUAAGUAACGGCGAAAGGGAAGCGGGUUGACAUUCCCGCACACGGAUGUGGAGGCGGUGACGCAUUUUAUUUGUUGGGACAAACACGCUGGCGACGGCGCUGGGCAGAGUUGUCUUUUCUGUUUGACCGUGUGCGCGCGCAGUGUGGAAUCCGCUUGUCGGGAGAAACACGCGCGCGCGGGCAGAGCGCCGGGGCUUUUCCGGCGUCCAGCUCGCCGUCGACGGCCCUUGAAACUUUGUCUGCUGAUUUAAAUCCACGCCGUGGCGUACCGAUCACCGCAUCAGGUCCCCGAGGUGAACAGCCUCUGCUCUAUAUGAACAAUGCAGGUAAGGGAAGUCGGCAAAUUGGACCCGUAACUUUGGGAAAAGGGUUGGCUCUAGUGCUGCGUGGGAGUGGUUG